GAUUAAAAUUUGAACUUUAAAACGAAGUGAACUUUGCAAGAAAUGUGAAUUUUGUUGAAAUUAUGUUCAAUUCUGGAGCAAAAAAAGAGGUGGAACAGUUGCCCGAAGCUGUUCAAGCAAGAAUUAAAACGACUGUGAGAUAUGCUAAAAUUUGGGCUGGUUUGGUAAUUGUCGCCGCAGGGGUACUGAUUGCAACCAAGCCUUAUCUAGAUGAAUUACGCAGUCAUGAUGAUGAAAAUAAGAUACAGAUUGCAAAGCCUAGGGUGAAAAAGACAGAAGAUAAAGAAUAAAAGACUAAUUUCAGCAAAGCUGGGGAAAUGGAUUGAAGUUGACUCUGUCAAACUAUUAUAAAGGAAGUCAAAAAUAUUUUAUAAUAUACUCUUAUAAUUACAUUAGUUUUGUCUUAGUUUUGUUACAUGUGUUAUUCUAUACCCAGUAUCAAUUCAUAUACUACACAUUAGGAUACGAGGGGAUAUAUACAAAUAUAUAUCCUUGUGUAUAUCUGUUACCUCAUACAGCUGAUUGAUUUACUAUUUGCACAAAAUAUAUGUAAACUAGAUAUUUAAAGACCUUGCUUUUUUU
Dendronephthya gigantea is the source of this 582-nucleotide long non-coding RNA. RefSeq lists it as uncharacterized. The transcript is spliced from 3 exons. The record is from RefSeq and is a predicted model, not a curated record. Lineage: Eukaryota; Metazoa; Cnidaria; Anthozoa; Malacalcyonacea; Nephtheidae.